This 588-nucleotide ribosomal RNA is filed under the name uncultured bacterium. RNAcentral's name for it is "bacterial SSU rRNA". It matches the Rfam family "Bacterial small subunit ribosomal RNA", at positions 338 to 916 of the family's 1533-position model. The record is from RNAcentral.
CCUACGGGAGGCAGCAGUGGGGAAUCUUCCGCAAUGGGCGAAAGCCUGACGGAGCAACGCCGCGUGAGCGAAGAAGGUCUUCGGAUUGUAAAGCUCUGUGAUAUUGGACGAACAGUUCUCUUGUGAAUAGCAAGAGGAAAUGACGGUACAAUAAGAGGAAGCCACGGCUAACUACGUGCCAGCAGCCGCGGUAAUACGUAGGUGGCAAACGUUGUCCGGAAUUACUGGGCGUAAAGGGCGAGUAGGUGGUUUAUUAAGUCAGAAGUGAAAACUCUGGGCUCAACCUGGAGACUGCUUCUGAAACUGGUAGACUUGAGUGCAGGAGAGGGAAGCGGAAUUCCUAGUGUAGCGGUGAAAUGCGUAGAUAUUAGGAGGAACACCAGUGGCGAAGGCGGCUUCCUGGCCUGUAACUGACACUGAGGCGCGAAAGCGUGGGGAUCAAACAGGAUUAGAUACCCUGGUAGUCCACGCCGUAAACGAUGAGUGCUAGGUGUCGGGGGUAUCGACCCCCUCGGUGCCACAGUUAACACAAUAAGCACUCCGCCUGGGGAGUACGGUCGCAAGACUGAAACUCAAAGGAAUUGACGG